AGGACGCCAGUUUGGGCGGAGCCAUCCUUUGGAUACCACACUUGUAGUCCUGUCAAUCUAACCAUCGGCCAUGAAUCUGGUCUUGGGACACGGUCAGGUGGGCAGUUUGACUGGGUCGGUCGCCUACCAAAAGUGAAAGGAGGCGCUCAAGGGUUCUCUCAGUACGGUGGGACAUCGUACGUGGAUGGUAAUGGCAAACGAGUGAUUGCUGUCACGACAUACCGGUCACGCAAGGAUGAAAAUCGGACUUAGUGAUCCGGUGGUUCUGCGUGGAAGGGCCAUCGACCAACGGAUAAAAGCUACCCUGGGGAUAACAGGCUUAUCUCACCCAAGAGUCCACAUCGACGGGGAGGUUUGGCACCUGGAUGUCGGCUCAUCACAUCCUGUGGCUGUAGUAGGUCCCAAGGGUGGGGCUGUUCGCCCAUUAAAGUGUUACGC
This 438-nucleotide ribosomal RNA is filed under the name Clostridioides difficile. RNAcentral's name for it is "bacterial LSU rRNA". It matches the Rfam family "Bacterial large subunit ribosomal RNA", at positions 2165 to 2601 of the family's 2925-position model. The record is from RNAcentral. Lineage: Bacteria; Bacillati; Bacillota; Clostridia; Peptostreptococcales; Peptostreptococcaceae.